Molecule: long non-coding RNA, 8096 nt
Organism: Rosa rugosa (rugosa rose)
Lineage: Eukaryota; Viridiplantae; Streptophyta; Magnoliopsida; Rosales; Rosaceae
Exons: 5
Source: RefSeq, a predicted model, not a curated record
CUCAUAUACCUUUCUGUUAGAAUUGCUCUGAUUACCUAUGGGAUUUAUGUUAUUCAAGUUGAGAUAUGUGUUUUGUGAAUUGGAGAUUGAUGUUGAUUUGGGGAGCAGGGUGGCUCCAGGGGCAUAAGGAUGAUUCGAUUGAGAAGUGUAAAUGUUCCCUACAGGUUUGGGUUGCCCAUUUUAGGGGAUGUUCCGCCAAAUUUUUGGUAGAAUUUCUUCUAAGGUGGGCCCCGCAGGGUCACUUCGGAUUUCAGGGUGAAAUCCGGGGCGGGUCCUGUCAGUUGGUAUCAGAGCAUUAGGUUGUCAGAUUCUGUAGACUUGUUUCUAUCCUGUUACCUUACACGCUUGAUGUUACACAGUACCUCCCGAGUGAUGGCCCGACUGCAGCGGUUCCCCAUCGUUUACUCUUCGGUGCUGAUGUAUUCAUUAAGUGUGUAAGGUGCAUGUCUAGAUGAUGUUCCUUUAGGUGCUAUGCCUUUUGUACGCCGACCUCCUAGGGUUUUCGUUGCGUAGUGGAUUGUUUGCAUGUUUUCCACAUUUCCCUGCUGAUGGUAGAGUAAGACUAUACAAUUUUGAGUUGUGCUACGAAAUAUGAUUCGAGAAAAUGUUGUGGUUAUUUCUUCCUCGACUCCAGUAAGUUUAUUGGAGCAAGGUUAAUGUGUGAGACUGGAGUUCUAUUUCGUGCUUGAGUGUCUGAGACGAGCAACCAUAGCUUUGGCUGUCCCUUGAUAAUAUAAUUGCUUCAGGAAUCAGGAUUGUUGUUAGAAGCAGAAUUAGUAGUAAUGGUGGUUCUCACUUUGAACCCAGUUUCGGGUGAUGUCUACUUAACGUGACCGGUUACAUAAGCGACAUCUGAGACAUUACUGCAGCCGUUGGAGAUUACUUGAAAAUCAUAGGACUGGUCAUCUUGAGUCAUUGACCUGACCAUGACAUUUGGAUUUAGUUUUAUUCGUAGUGAAAGAAAUUGAUUCCAGAUAAUUUGAGCUAUUGUAUCAUCUUAUUAAGUUCUAGAUUGUAGAGAAUUGGGAGAUGGAUAGAAUGGACUUUUGAAAUAAUUUAUGUUUGAAACUUGAGUAUUUAUUUGGAUGCUUGAAGUUUUACAAUGGAGUUACGAUCUUUGUCGGUAUUCAAUUGGGAGGAUUAGGAAUAACUUUUGUACUUGAGAUUGUGCCGAUGUCUGUCCUUGAUUAUUUGAGUGGAAUGGUUGAAAGUAACGGAAUGUUUUGGAAGAAUUGAGUGAAUUUUUACUACCUUGGUGCCAUUACUGGUGGCGAUGGGUUAAGUUGUUUAUGAUAUUAGUUCUCGCUUUGAUCGACCUUUUUACGACAUGAUGACUCUUGAUUGGAAUAGUGUAGAAAGUUUUGGUACGAGUGAUAUCUGAUCACCAUCAUGUGUUUAAUAGUAAGAUGACUUGAACAGGAAGUAGGAGUUGAGUUUGGAAUUAAUUGAUUGGACUUAAGUUUUAUCAAGGUUUCAACCGACAUUUAAUGAAGGUAUUAAAUGGUGAGCUGCUAUGAUUGAGUUGUGUUGUUGGUUUAUUUCUCAGUGAGAAGAGGUUCGGAAUUUGGUGCGAAUUUGGUUAGCACAGGGAAGUUAUUGAGAUUAUUGUUGUAGCCGAAAUCUUAUUAAUUAAGUGUGGUUCGGAGAGCGGAUUUCAGCGAUCUUAUUCUCAUUUCAGUGAAGACGAUUGUCACUUGAGAAUAUCGACUUUAAGUAAACUUUGAGUAUUCCACAGUUUUGUUCAAGUGAAGGAAAUUGAUUUUUUUUGGCUCUUUGAGUUAUGAAUUAGUCUUUUUAAAUUAGGGAUCGUAUGGAGAUGUACAGUAGUGAGUUUUUGAAGUUGUUUCUAUGUUUUAAGUUUAAGUAAGCGGGACGCUUAAAGCUUUUCAAGGGAUUAGAACCAACUCUUUGUAAAUGAUGUUGUACAAGUUUGUCUUUGGUGUUUCAUUUUCGGUGAAAUGGUUUAAUGCAAAUUCGGGGAGUGACGGUAGUGACACUGUUGGGUAUCCAUAGUGGUUCAAGCGAAUUACUAUGUGAUACGGAGUUUGAUUCGAAUUCUAAAUCGUGAAGUCAUUGGGAUUGAAUUGUGGUAAGUUCUUGGUGGAGCAAGCGAUAGAUGGAAUGGUUGAGAUUUUAUAAGAGUAGUAAGUAGAGUAACUCUAAGGACAUGGGUUUUCCCAGUUGACUCGGAAAGUAUUUCAGGUCAUAGUUUGACCAGAGUUCUGAGUUGUAUUUUGAGAAAAACUUUUUGUGGGUUGAACUUGGAAAUUUGAUCGUUAGGUGGUGGGACCACCUUCGGAUCUUGGUAUCGUUGGGAGUGAUACAUGAUGUUGGACGGGUGUCCUUAACCUUGAAACUGGUGAUGAGGUCAGGGGGGAAUGGCCCCGUGUAGCAAGAAUUUGGAAUUUGAAACCAAUUAAGAGUGCAAAAAGGGGUGUAUUGAAAUUUUGAAAGGUUUCAGAAAUCAAGGACAUUCGGAUCGUCUUACGAUGGUUUUGAUCAUGUUUAUUGCGCAUGAAGGUACUAUUAGGUGUCAUUGGAUAUCCAUUUGGGUGAAAUUGUUGAACUUGAGAUCAAGAAAUAGUCGUCGUGACGCCACAGGGUGUCCAUAGUAAUUCAAGUGGAAGUGCUAGGUGAUGUGGUUAUGAUCUUAGUUUAAAAUCCUUGAGUUAUGGCGAAGGUUGGUAGUAGUUUUCGUUGCGGGGUGAUGCUAGUCAACAAGUUUCGGGAUUCUGGUAGCAUUCUAUGAGGGAUUUCUCGAUUAGUCUUUUGGGGACUAUGAAAGAAUUUAUUUCCUUCUUGUGGAUUACGUUGUUGCUUCAAUAUCUCUUUUUCUUAAUUCACGAGUUGAUUUCUUUUCUCUCUGCAGUAUUUGAGGUGCUUUACGCCCACGUAACACUACGCUUUUACUUACUUAUAGAACCAUUAACAGGUUGCUUUGAACAUAAGGUUUUUCAAUCACGAAUGGAGGUAAACCUUUCUUUUGGGAUGAAGUGGGAGAAAGACAACUUAUUGGUCCUGAAAUUAUUGGAAUCACAAUAGAUAAAAUUAAGGUGAUUAGAGAGAGACUCAAGACGGCUCAAACCACACAAAAGAGCUACGCUGAUAACCGCAGGAAGUAUCUUGAAUUUCAAGUUGGUGGUUGGGUGUUUUUGAAGUUAUCUCCUUGGAAGGGUGUGGUAAGGUUUGGUAAACGUGGGAAACUUAGUCCAAGGUAUAUUGAUUCCUAUGAAUUUGUGGAACGAAUUGGUCUUGUUGCUUACCGCUUGGCUUUAUCUCCACAACUAUCUGGGAUACAUGAUGUUUUCCACGUAUCCAUGCUUCGCAAGUACAUAGCCGAUUCUUCACGUGUUAUCAGUUUAACCCAUUACACUUAGAGGGGAUUUAACAUAUGAAGAACCAGUACAGAUCCUCGAUCGUCGUGAGCAGGGACUCCGAAGUAAGGUUAUACCUUUGGUUAAGGUAUUGUGGAGGAAUCAUCUCAUCGAAAAAGCUACUUGGGAAUCGGAAGAGCAAAUGAAGCGGCAGUACCCACAUUUUUUUUUUUUUUUUUUUCCAUGACAGGUACAAUUUCGAGGAAGAAAUUUUUUUUAAGGAGGGGAGAUUGUAAUACCCCGUACCUUAAAAUUUUUACUAGUUAAAUUUUACCGUUAUUGACCGAAGAGUGACUUUUUCUUUAGUCCGGUAAAUUAGGAAAUUUCCUUGAGAAUGUCGUAGAAUAUGAAAAAUCGAGUUCGUGGACACGUAGUUUGUUUAAAUCGGAGUUUCUACGGAAAAGUUAUGACCAAAAAUGGAAAUUUACUAUUAUGGUUAUUAUUUCCCUAUUAUUUUAAAGGAAAGUGGGUAAAAAAGGAGAGAGAGAGAGAGUGAAAUCGGGAGAACCCGAUUCCAGCCCCCCCCCCCCUCCUUCUUUCUUCUUUUUCUCUUCUUUCUUUCCUUUCCUUGCUGCGAAACCGGAACCCAUUUCCGGCGAAAUCACCGCCACCGUCCGCACCACCGGCCAUUAGAGGAUCCUCUCUUCCUCCUCUUGCAUCUAAGCUUGUUUUGAUCUAUGGAGGAAGAUUUGAAGGUGUUUGAGCGUGUGAACAGUAACGUGAACAGUAACUGUCGGGUUCUUGGUUUUUGUUUGAUUUCUCCGGCCUUUUCUGCUUGAUUUUGGUUGUUGUUGCAGGACGGAUUGAUCCCUUGAGCGAGGGGAUACGGGUAGGCAGCAGGAUUAGCUGCGAGACUCACCUUUUGCAGGCGAAUGAGUUGAGGUCGGGCGUACACGAAAUUGAGGCAUAGUCAGCAGCAUGGCUUCCGCAUCUGCCUUUGAAUUAGGUACUUUGAGAAGCAGUUAAGGAGAAAGAGAGCUACAAUGGGGCAAUCAAGGCACUUCACAUGAAGUAGUGAUGCAAAGGAUGGACUCUAAUCAUUCAUUGGUCAUAAAACUCAAGAGAAGAUGGAGAAAGUUGCCGUGCAAAACAAUUGCAGAAAAGCAGAAAACAGAGUAUUAGAAUCUACCUUAUUUUCUUCUGUUUUGGGAAGCUAUUUUGAAGAACUUUCGAGUGAAAUUAUGAAGAAAGGCCUGGAAAUAUUUGAAUACCGUAUGUUCUACUAUAACUAUAGGCAAAGAUUUGGUCCAGAGUGAUAAAGAGGAAGCUGGAGGCUGUGCUCAAAGUUGGUACCCCGAGAAGACUGUUUCCAUCAGCUUUUCAGGAAGCUUUUUUAAGGACCUUUCUACUGAACUUAAGGGAUGAAAAUCAUGAAUUUAUCUACCCAGAUUUGACGAAUAUAUGUUGUAGAGAAGUUCAAAAUCAAGAAUCAUCCAGAAAGGUGGUGGAAUGCAUAAGUUAUGAUGCUGCAAAGAUGAGCAGAGGAUAAGAAAAAUCUGGAAUUUCUGACAAGUCUUUCUGCGAAGCAUUUUCAAGGCCGUCGUUGGGCCACGUUUCAAGAAGCUUUCUAGAAGGUUUUUACACGGUUUUGAAGAGUGACAUUAGGAGUAUUAUGUGGCAGAAUAUCACCUUUGAAUCUUCCAGGAACCCUUGUCAAACAUGGAGAGGAAAAUCAAUCCUAGUUGAGAAAGGAAAGUGAAUUAAAGGCUAUAUUUUCUGAAGAUAUUCAUGGCAGAUUUUUGGGACGAAUUUUAUUGGAUUUUUGCUGCAUUAUACUUACCAAGACCAAGAGACGGUUAGAAAGACUUAAGGAAGGUUCAGAAGAUUGUGUGGCAGCUAAGCAAGUGGAAUUGGAGAAGAAUGAGAACUCAACCCGGUUUUGAGGAGAAAAGCUAAGGGUUUGUAAACCAUAAAAAUAGGAGGCUUCUUUGCGUCAUUAGCAGACCAUAUCAUACAGAUUUCACGCCUCAAAACACCCCUAGCUCUCUGGUUUUCAAAGCUCCAUACAAGCAUAAGGAAAAGAAGCUGCCAAAGUUGCCAUCUGCCACCACCGUUGAUACGCUCAAAGCAAGCGCAUAAUUUAACCCUGAAAAUGUCAUCGUUAGUACAUAGUAAAUAGGGAUCAAUCUAAUCCGGGGAUUGAGGGUACACCUGUCAAUAAAAAUACAAGGAUAAUUAUUUACAAAAAUAAAACAAAGUAUAAACAUAUUUACGAAAAAGGGGGGAUUUUGAUUUUUAGUUUCCGAAAAUUAACUAAGUAAGAAGAUAAUAAAAACACAAAAACAUAAAUACAAGGAUGGAAUGAAAGAAACAAAGAUCAAAACCGAAACUAUAAUCAAAUUCAAUUCAACCCUAAUAUUGUUCAUCUAAGUCAUGAGAAAGGAGUUGAUCAUGUGAAACGUUAGAAAGCAAACGAUUUCCCAUAUUUUACUUUUCAAUGCUAAUUAAUCUAAGUGAAAGCACAAAGACUAAUCCUAUCAAACAUGCAUUCAAGCUCUAGAAAGCUAGACAAUCAUAACAUGUUAGACGCAUUAAACACAUAGAAAGGCUAUCAACUCAAGUGUGCAACUUAGUAUGAAAAAGUCCACCUAAUUGCAAUCCUCUUCAAUUAAAUUCGGUUUUUGUCCAAAACCUUUACUACUUUUGACUCAAGUUUACACAAAACAAAAAGUUGAUUCAUGUUCUUAAACCUAGCAUCAUUCAUAUAAAAACCCUAAGUGUUUCGAACCACAUAAGAUCAAAAUACAAAAGAUAUCUAUUAAGCAAAUUUAAUCAAACGAUUCUCACAAAAGCAACUAAGAAUUACAAUAUAGGAGUCGAAAUUCUCAUUCAAUUAAAUAAAUUUCAGAAUCAAAAACCUUGUUCAAACAUAAAUGUUAACUAGAACAACUUCUAACAAAAUCAAACAAGGGGAAUCAAAAGUGAUUACAAGAAAGAAGGUUGAAUUACACCGUGAAUGGAGAUAGUGAUGAAGAACUCGAAUGAUGAACUAAUGAAACUCGAAAGCAAGCUUCAAACUUCACGGCUUCAAGGUGGAAUGGGAGAGGUGCUCACGGCUUCUUCUUGCUUCUUCCUCCCUUGCUUGAAAUCGCAGAAGAUGAACUAGAGAAUGGAGAGAGCUUUCGCGUAUAAAGUAAUUUCUGAAUUAGGGGAACUCCUUUUUGACGUCUUGGGGAGAGAUAUAUAUAGGGAGCGGCAAUACUUGGUCUCCAAGCCGUGAUAUUCUUUUUGUUUUCCAUGGAAUUAAUUUAAUAAUUCCACAUAGCGUCCACCAAUGAAAAAUUGCCAAGUAGGCCCUAGUGUGUCAUCCAACCAAUCACAAAACUCCAAUAUGAUUCCCUAAUAUAUUCUUGCCGAAAUUGCAUGAAUAUAUUCUGAUUUUUUCUCUUUUAUUUCAGCCAAAAUACCUUUAGGGAAUAUAGGAAUGAAUCUAGACGCCUUUUGAGCCGUUUCUUGAUGUCCACACUUCUUCUUUCCUUAAAACUCUCCCUAGAAAAUCUCUUGGCGUAAUCUUUUAUUUGCUUCUUGAUUUACACGCCAACUUCUCUCUUCUCCUUGAUAUUUCACGGCAAAGCCUCUCUAGGGUUUACUCUUUGCGUCACAAACCCUAAUUCCAUGGGCUUUUAUGGGCCUUGAUCUAUUUUGCCGAAAGUCCAAGUCAAUUCAUAGAGUUCUUGGGCUUUGUUGCGUCAACUUCAAGCCUUGUCACCCUCCAACGUCAUGACACUUCAUUUUUCCAUUUCCUUUUCAUGGUUGCGUUGGAAACUUGCUUGGUAAGCUCUCCUCCUUUUCGCAGGGUUUCCUGGUUGGAACAGGAAAGCUUAUUUCUUCAUUUAUGCUUAAUUAUGUGGCCCUUUGUGUCUCAUUUUUGCUCCCCUUAACGUUUGCAAGCUCCCUUUUCCUUUCGUGAGUUCAUUUCCACUUUUUAGCUCCGAGGUCCUGAAAAUAGAAAUUGUUAAUGAAAAAUAGAAACUUUCCUAAAAUGAAAAACGGAAACUUUCCUAAACUAAAAUGGGAAACUUUCUAAAAAUGAAAAAUAGAAACUACAAAAUGGAAACUUUCUACAAAUAGAAACUUUCCCAAUCGAAGAAUGGAAACUUUCCUAAACAGAGUUUUAUUAAGGAAAUAACGCAGGAAAUGUAGGGAGAUAACAGUUAAAACAUCGCAUAAAAAUGCUCCUAUCAACCGUGACCAUCCAUCUUCAAGCAACAUCCACCCUGUUCUUUACUCCCUUUUAUGCGACUUUGUCUUCUUAUUUUCAAUAUGUUUCUGUGUGUUUACCUUAGAACAAUGAGUAGCUAAAUACUUUUGUGUUAGGGGCUAGUUUGAAGCCCUAAACUAUGGUUCAAGUUUCAUAAUAAAUUUCUAUGUUUUAGUUACUUUGUCGAUGAGAUUGUUCUUUGGUUCUGGAUUAGAUGUGUCUUUUAUAUGUAUGUUUUAUGUGGUUGCAAACAUAUAGGAUAUGCAUGUCAUUGGUGCUAGGUUAAAUAGCAAUUCACCUAAUAGUUUUGUGAUUUUAACCGAAGUAGUAAAGCCUCUCGCCAAGGUGUGUACCAAAGAUGAGGAAUGCAACUAGACACGCUUGUUGUACUAGUACUUUGUACACUUAGAUUGACAUCCUUCCACAUGUGCUUAAUGCUUUAGAACUUGCUAAAUGUAGGAGCCGCUUGUGAUCUCUAUGUUGCAUGUUUUCAAAAGGUUCUAAUAACAGCGCUAGAGUUA